AGAAUGACUCUCGGCAACGGAUAUCUAGGCUCUUGCAUCGAUGAAGAACGUAGCGAAAUGCGAUACUUGGUGUGAAUUGCAGAAUCCCGUGAACCAUCGAGUCUUUGAACGCAAGUUGCGCCCGAGACCAUUAGGUUGAGGGCACGUCUGCCUGGGCGUCACAU
RNAcentral lists this ribosomal RNA (164 nucleotides) under Erophaca baetica subsp. orientalis. RNAcentral's name for it is "5.8S ribosomal RNA". It matches the Rfam family "5.8S ribosomal RNA". From Rfam's summary of the family: 5.8S ribosomal RNA (5.8S rRNA) is a component of the large subunit of the eukaryotic ribosome. RNAcentral also lists the same sequence under 1 other name. The record is from RNAcentral. Lineage: Eukaryota; Viridiplantae; Streptophyta; Magnoliopsida; Fabales; Fabaceae.